UUUNGUUUGCCCCUUCCCAUCCAACGCUCCUUGCGGGUUGUUGGAGGGCCGCACAGCAGUCCCCGUGUUCCUCGAGAGCGUCGYUCGGGCGUCGGCUCUCGAAGGCCCGCGGGGAUCURCUGGACCCUCGGAUGCGGUUCGUGUGGGCGGUCGUGCGACGGACGUCGCAUCCGGCCGUGYRAAAUUUCGGUUUGCCUGAACGAUGUCCGUGCCUGCGUCGACGUCCGCCUUGCCCCGGCUCGGCGGUGUCGUGCAAGGCCCGGCAUCACGGAGGGAUGCUACCUGGUUGAUCCUGCCAGUAGUCAUAUGCUUGUCUCA
RNAcentral lists this unclassified non-coding RNA (318 nucleotides) under Hymenostegia felicis. RNAcentral describes it as "partial contains external transcribed spacer and 18S ribosomal RNA". Lineage: Eukaryota; Viridiplantae; Streptophyta; Magnoliopsida; Fabales; Fabaceae. The record is from RNAcentral.